UGUCAGUACAAUAUCAGUUGAGCCUGCCAAGAAGUCAUGCAGGAGGUCCUUGAACUUUUACACUGAAGGACAGCCUAGAGACAACAAUUCCAAAUGUAAGCUUAAUUCUGAUGAAGAUUCUCAACUACAAGCACAUGAUGUUGGGGAAGGAAAUCAAUCAAAAUCAAUUGUGACUGUAGGGAAUGGAAUUGAAGUGAUAGUGGAAACUACACAAACAGGCAUUGCAUAUGAUCUAAAUCAUUCUGUUAAUCAAAAGCUUCAAGAUUACCUCGCAUUGCCUGAAAAACAGGCACCAAGCACACCAGUAUAUGCAAACAUUGACCCUGCAAGGAGAAUAAGGAACAACAAUUCCCAAGAGAGCCCUGCUGAAAGAGAAGGCCAGGUGACUACUCACAGUGUACAGCAGAAUGCUGCACAAAGCAUGUUGCAAACUGACAAUCAAUUGCCACCAAUCAACCCAAAUGACUCCAUCUGCGGCAAAUACACAACUUUGACCAUGGAAGGACAAUCAAACGGAUCAAAGAGGAAGGUUUUCAGUUGCAUUCAACAGCCAGGCACCUGCAACACAAAUCUAACUGGAAUUUUCUGUAAUGCUUUACCUCAAUAUCAGGCAACAUCUGAGUUCCAAGUUCCAAGCAAUUUCAAGAAGAGGAGGACUGAAAAGGCACAUAUCGCCA
RNAcentral lists this long non-coding RNA (677 nucleotides) under Ricinus communis (castor bean). RNAcentral's name for it is "long non-coding RNA (RCOM_LNC002337)". Lineage: Eukaryota; Viridiplantae; Streptophyta; Magnoliopsida; Malpighiales; Euphorbiaceae. The record is from RNAcentral.